GNUCAAAUUUAAANUCUGGCAUCUUUGUUNNCCGAGUUGUAGUCUGGAGAAGCGUUUUCUGUGCUGGACCGUGUACAAGUCUCUUGGAACAGAGCGUCGUAGAGGGUGAGAAUCCCGUCUUUGACACGGACUGCCAGUACUUUGUGAUGCGCUCUCAAAGAGUCGAGUUGUUUGGGAAUGCAGCUCAAAAUGGGUGGUAAAUUCCAUCUAAAGCUAAAUAUUGGCGAGAGACCGAUAGCGAACAAGUACCGUGAGGGAAAGAUGAAAAGCACUUUGGAAAGAGAGUUAAACAGUACGUGAAAUUGCUGAAAGGGAAACGCUUGAAGUCAGUCGCGUUGGCCAGAACUCAGCCUGGCUUUUGCCUGGUGCAUUUUCUGGUUGACGGGCCAGCAUCAAUUUUGACUGCUGGAUAAAGGCCUAAGGAAUGUGGCACCUUCGGGUGUGUUAUAGCCUUGGGUCACAUGCAGUGGUUGGGAUUGAGGAUCUCAGCAUGCCUUUAUGGUCGGGGUUCGCCCACGUUCAUGCUUAGGAUGCUGGCGUAAUGGCUUUAAACGACCCGUCUUGAAACACGGACCAAGGAGUCUAACAUGCCUGCGAGUGUUUGGGUGGAAAACCCGAGCGCGCAAUGAAAGUGAAAGUUGGGAUCUCUGUCGUGGAGAGCACCGACGCCCGGACCAGACCUUCUGUGACGGAUCCGCGGUAGAGCAUGUAUGUUGGGACCCGAAAGAUGGUGAACUAUGCCUGAAUAGGGUGAAGCCAGAGGAAACUCUGGNGGANGCUCGUAGCGAUUCUGAC
Molecule: ribosomal RNA, 795 nt
Filed under: Junghuhnia subundata
Lineage: Eukaryota; Fungi; Basidiomycota; Agaricomycetes; Polyporales; Steccherinaceae
Description: LSU rRNA
Rfam family: Eukaryotic large subunit ribosomal RNA
Source: RNAcentral